Ipomoea triloba (trilobed morning glory) is the source of this 201-nucleotide long non-coding RNA. RefSeq lists it as uncharacterized. NCBI's taxonomy places the organism in Eukaryota, Viridiplantae, Streptophyta, Magnoliopsida, Solanales, Convolvulaceae. The transcript is spliced from 3 exons. The record is from RefSeq and is a predicted model, not a curated record.
GGGGAUAUUGGCAAUAUGGUUAUCUUCGAGGGCAUGAAGGCAAGCAGCAGCUUCCUCAGGUGUCUAGCCCCCUCACAAGGGUUUUUGGUGCACAGCUACUGGCUAAUGCAGCAGCUGACAAGAACAAGAAAUGUUUUGGUGCUGUGAAUGUGGAUGGAGUUGCUGCUGCAAAUGGAGGUGCCUAGAAAGCCUCCUUCUCAG